CAGACCCUCCCAGACUCCCCAUAAUACUGGACGCUGGGUAUCAGCUUUCCCCACCUUCUCAACAUGAGAGGGUCCAGCCAGUCCUAUAAUCUGCUCUUAUGGUUGUUAUAAACAUGAAACACAGCCUCCAUAACUGCAGCCUAUGCUAUGCACGGUUUCUGCUUGAGGGGACAGGACCAUUUAUUUGCCUUCCCAUAGGUGCCCAGUUGCUGCUGCUCCAUUCUCUUACACGGCUACAGGACAGGGACCAGUAAACUGCAUACAGACAGAGGUUCACUGUCCUGCUGCUCUUCCCCUUGCUCCAUUUGGGUUGUUACAGAUGGACUUGGCCCCAUUACUGAAGGGCUGGGGUUGUCCUGGCCAAAAGCCCCAGUCCUGCACUCAGGGAGCAGGGUUAUGUGAGUGGCAGGCUCUGAAACCUUCUGUGCUUGCUCCUUCUUGUCAUGCCCAGUGCCCACCACAGCAGCUAUUUUGGGUCUGGUGUGUAACCAUCUGCUCAGCCUGGCACUGCUGUGCCAGCACGCAAAGCUGAUGAUGGGUUAGCUGACAGGAACAAUCUGGUUUCAUGGCCACGCUGUACCAGUCACUGACACCGCUAACGUACCUGCCUGGACAGCAUUUAGCAAUUUGGCACCAUAAGAAACCAGUGAACCAAUUGCCUGAGCAUUGCAUCUCCUCUAAAACAGAAGGGCAACAAUGAGGGCAAUUGCUUGAACUCUGCUUGGCUGUUUUCUCCGGUUCUUUUUAUACACCACUGAUUGUAUUUCCAGCAUUUCGCAUUUGGGGAGCUUCCUUCCUUCUGUACAGCUGAAGUCAGCAGCACUGACUGCCUCUCCCUCCCUCCAUGCUUUCUCUUCACCUUCUGAAUCAGUCCCUCCAGUUUAAGAGUUUUUCCCAAUUUUCAGGAAGGACAAACUUCUCCCGUAUGGUUUAGAAAACAAGUUGCUCAACCAAAGGAUAAGCCAAAUCCCGAUUCAAGUUGGUUUAUGGAAUCUCUCUGAUCCACACCUGGGAGCAACGGGGAGGCUUGAAGAAACCAGGAGCAACUCAGUUCUGAUUUCUGAGUAGAAAGAUGAGGACAAAAGAGCCCUGGGUCGUUUAUCCCCAAAGAGCAAUCCCAGAAGCUCUCAUUCCCCUCCGUCAGUACACUACUGCAUCCAGUCUUUGUUCUAACCACACUGCUAGGCUAACUCAGGUUGGCCAACACUGUUGUGCGUGGAAAGUGCCUUCUUACAAUCAUAGAAUCAUAGAAUCACCAAGGUUGGAAAAGACCCACAGGAUCAUCAGGUCCAACCAUACAUUCUUAUACAGUUAAUCAAGAAAGCUUCAGCUUUAUCAGUGAUCUAUAAGAUAUCUGGGCACACAGCAGCUCAGUUUGCGGGAAGAAAGUGGUGAGUGCAUCACUGAACAUGCAGAAGUGCAGAGAAAAGGAGGUGGGCUUUCUGCAUGCAAUAGAGGUUGGGGCAGCACCUUGUGGAUUCUACUCUCUUCAGUCCCAAUGGGCAGCAAGGUGACACUAGCAGUGCUAGGGGCUCUUGUCCUUCUGUUCCCUUCCUAAGAGUAAAGGUUGUGUUGGGAAGAAUUACAGGGCAGGUCCUGCAAACACCAAACAGACAGCAAAUCCCUGUCUGCCAGCUCAUCUUCUUUCCCUAACAGUGUAUGCUGAUUCCCAGCAGAGCCAGCCAGGGAUUUGAUACCCAGGCUUCAGCCCCAGAGCUUGUUCUGUGCUCUGAAAGCAGGUGAAAUUGCAAAAUGGAAGUCUUACAGGCCCUCCUCCUGGCCCCAAAGAACCAUACCAUGCUCCUGUCUGCCCCUUAAGGCACAUACUGUGCUUGUCUUCUGCAGAGCAGAUGGGAACCUAAAUUCCAUAUUUCAACAGUCUCCAUCACCUCUAAACAACCCCUUCUUUUCCCCAGGCCCCAUUGCUUUCUGCUCCCAUUUGGAUAUUUGGUUAUAUCACGAGCAGUCCCUGUGUAACCUCUGAAAGCAGCAAAAAGAAAGAGCUAAAGCCCCUCUCAGUGAAGGUUUGCCGUUGUACACAGCUGGGUCUCAUACUGCCUUCAUCAGAAGAGCUGAACCUUCUGCUCACAACUGGCAGGGCAGAAAAUAUUGUGAAUCACUACUUACUGUUUUUUGUGUUUUCUUUCUUCCUUUCUCUUACUUUUGGGGCUUGAGGAACUAAAUAAGAAACGGCUAAUUAAUUUGGAGAUGUCUGUUCUGAUUAAUAUAUAUUAUAUAUUAUAUAUAUAUAUAUUUAUAUAUAGCAUGAUAACACAUCAACAUUACAGCUAAACUGCCCAAAAACGUACAAUUAAAACGUUGAAGGGAUGAAUAUUUCUGCCUCGACACAGGGGGUCUCAGUUCCUGCUGGGAAACCUGGUUCAUGGGCUUGGACACAGUCCCCAUGGGAUCAGCCAACUUGCUGGCGUUACACUUUCCCAUAGGGAAGUUGGAUGCAUGCACUGGAAUCAGGACAGUUCUUCCAGUACGCACCUGGAAAGGCACUGAAUUGGAAUGUUUCCCCACUGCUGGGGAAUGCAUGCUGUUUGUGGGUGAAACCAUAAGAGGAAUAAAGUGCAGAAUGUAUCCAACAUGGACGAGGUUGCGAGACCCACGGGGGACGGGGGAACCAAGGGGAUUCCACAGUGAACAUCAACCUUGUGAGAUCCUGAGGAGACCAUUUCUAGGGGAUCACCCACACGUGCUCAACUCUUACCUGUGUCUUCUCUUCUUUGAGGAUAACCUGCAAGACACAAAGGUGCACACUGAGUGCAGCGUCCUACAAAACUGGAAGUUUGAAUCAGAGGCAAUCUGGUAAGGCCCAUCUCGAGGCUGAGCGCUAAGGAUACAAUGCACCAGCUGGACAGCCCUGGCUUCCUUUUAGCCAGCUGGGAAGAGGACAGAUGGUGCUGGUGGAAGUCACUGGCACACUGCAAAUAACUGAGCAUGUCGAAGAAUCAAACACCUCCUCUGUCCCUGGUGGAUUGCUUUUCUCUACUACUGCCUCCGCACUGCACUGAGUUUGAUGUAGAGGAAAAAGCAAACGCUGAAGCUAAUUAAUGUGGAGCACUGGGCUGAAAAUGUGAAAUGCAUGGGGGCUGGUGACCCUAAAGAAAGGCAGUGAAUGAUGGAAACUAGAGCACAGGGUCUGUGCCUCAGCAUCGCCACUGCUCAUCCCACUGGCUGGAGGUGCCACCAUCGGGACCUCGUGGUUGGAAAGCCAUCCUCAAAGGGAUGUGGGAUGUGGGCUCCAGCACAGCUCAGCCCCCUCCUCAUCUCAGGCCAUCGUCAGCCCUUGCCGUGUCUGUGCCAGGGCAUGGAGAACCUCCAGGCUGUGUGCUCAGCCAUAGGCAGCCUGCCUGGAGCCCUCCCCCUGCUCCCAAGAUGAAGCCUUUUGUCUUUGAAGUGGAAGCCUCAUCCCUGAGCUGAUCUAACUUUAAUUGUUCCUCUGUGAUUGUAAUCAGAGUCUAAUUAAAAAUACACUUUAGAUUA
This is a long non-coding RNA of Gallus gallus (chicken), 3492 nucleotides long. RefSeq lists it as uncharacterized. The record is from RefSeq and is a predicted model, not a curated record. NCBI's taxonomy places the organism in Eukaryota, Metazoa, Chordata, Aves, Galliformes, Phasianidae. The transcript has 2 exons.